GAUGAACGCUAGCGACAGGCCUAACACAUGCAAGUCGAGGGGCAGCACAUGCGUAGCAAUACAAUGGUGGCGACCGGCGCACGGGUGAGUAACACGUAUGCAACCUACCUGUAAGAGGGGAAUAACCCGGAGAAAUCCGGACUAAUACCGCAUAAUACUGAUUUUCUGCAUGGAGGAUUAGUUAAACAUUUAUGGCUUACAGAUGGGCAUGCGUAUGAUUAGUUAGUUGGUGAGGUAACGGCUCACCAAGACAUCGAUCAUUAGGGGUUCUGAGAGGAAGGUCCCCCACACUGGUACUGAGACACGGACCAGACUCCUACGGGAGGCAGCAGUGAGGAAUAUUGGUCAAUGGGCGAGAGCCUGAACCAGCCAAGUCGCGUGAAGGAAGACGGUUCUAUGGAUUGUAAACUUCUUUUGUAAGGGAAUAAAGUGCACUACGUGUAGUGUUUUGU
This 452-nucleotide ribosomal RNA is filed under the name uncultured bacterium. Its description in RNAcentral is "bacterial SSU rRNA". It matches the Rfam family "Bacterial small subunit ribosomal RNA", at positions 28 to 472 of the family's 1533-position model. The record is from RNAcentral.